Molecule: ribosomal RNA, 1359 nt
Filed under: Pristimantis luteolateralis (white-striped robber frog)
Lineage: Eukaryota; Metazoa; Chordata; Amphibia; Anura; Strabomantidae
Description: partial 16S ribosomal RNA
Rfam family: Bacterial large subunit ribosomal RNA
Source: RNAcentral
CAAAAAAUAUAGCCCCCACCCCCUGUCUUUUAAAUUACUGAUUAAAAUAUUUUAACAGUCCAGUAAAGAAGAUUAAAAAACUUCCAAGAGCUAUAAACCUGUACCGCAAGGGAAAUAUGAAAUAAAAAUGAAAUAAAUUUUAAGCACAAAAAAGUAAAGAUUAAAUCUUGUACCUUUUGCAUCAUGGUUUAGCUAGUCUAAUUAGGCGAAAAGAUUUUAAGUCUAACCCCCCGAAACUAAGUGAGCUAAUUUAGGGCUGCUUACUGAGCUAAUCCGUCUAUGUUGCAAAAUAGUGGAAUGACCCUAAAAUAGAGGUGAUAAACCUAACGAACUUAGCAAUAGCUGGUUUCUCAAGAAAAGAAUUUUAGUUCCCCCUAAAGUAACUCAAAAAUCUAUUAAUUGUCCCAUCCCUUUAGAGUAAUUCAAACGAGGUACAGCCCGUUUGACACAGGAUACAACCUUUACUAACGGGUAAUAAUAAAUUUAAAAUCCUAAGUCGGCUUAAGAGCAGCCACCUUUUAAAAAGCGUCAAAGCUUAAUCCCAAAUACAAAAUUCCUACAUUUACAUUAACCCCUUUAAUCGUAUUGAGAACUUCUAUAAUUUUAUAGAACUUUUUAUGCUAAAACUAGUAACAAGAGAAAACCCUCUCCCAAACGCAAGUAGAAGCCAGAAGAACCCAUCACUGGCAUAAUAACAGACUUCAAAGAAGCAACCCUUCCAGAAAACUCUUCUACCUUAACUGUCAAUCUUACACCAGGGCGUUUCGAGAAAGAUUAAAAGAAAAAGAAGGAACUCGGCAAAAACUAGCCCCGCCUGUUUACCAAAAACAUCGCCUCUUGAAUUUAUUAGAGGUCCAGCCUGCCCAGUGACUCCUGUUUAACGGCCGCGGUAUUCUAACCGUGCAAAGGUAGCGUAAUCACUUGUUUUCUAAAUAAAGACUAGUAUGAAAGGCACCACGAGGACUAAACUGUCUCCUUUUUCCAAUCAGUGAACCUAAUCUCCCCGUGAAGAAGCGGGGAUUUCAAUAUAAGACGAGAAGACCCUGUGGAGCUUAAAACAUCUAAACAUCUGCUUCAUCUUCCAUCACUCAGGUAUAUUACCCCCCCCUUGCAAUUUGAUUUAAUGUUUUUGGUUGGGGUGACCGCGGAAAAAAACAGAUCCUCCGCAAUGAAAGGGAAUUCCCUAAACUGUAAGUCACAACUUUACGUAUCAAAAAAUUGACACCAUCGACCCAAUAGUUGAUCAAUGAACCAAGUUACCCCAGGGAUAACAGCACAAUCCACUUCAAGAGUUCAUAUCGACAAGUGGGCUUAUGACCUCGAUGUUGGAUCGGGAUAUCCUAGUGGUGCAGCCGCUAC